This 305-nucleotide ribosomal RNA is filed under the name uncultured bacterium. Its description in RNAcentral is "bacterial SSU rRNA". It matches the Rfam family "Bacterial small subunit ribosomal RNA", at positions 333 to 655 of the family's 1533-position model. The record is from RNAcentral.
UGUUACCUACGGGGGGCAGCAGUGGGGAAUAUUGCACAAUGGGGAAAACCCUGAUGCAGCAACGCCGCGUGAGUGAAGAAGUCAUUCGUGAUGUAAAGCUCUAUCAGCAGGGAAGAAAAUGACGGUACCUGAGUAAGAAGCCCCGGCUAACUACGUGCCAGCAGCCGCGGUAAUACGUAGGGGGCAAGCGUUAUCCGGAUUUACUGGGUGUAAAGGGAGCGUAGACGGCAGUGCAAGUCUGAAGUGAAAGGCAAGGGCUCAACCCUUGGACUGCUUUGGAAACUGUGCUGCUCGAGUGUCGGAGG